This is a long non-coding RNA of Formica exsecta, 705 nucleotides long. RefSeq lists it as uncharacterized. The transcript has 3 exons. Lineage: Eukaryota; Metazoa; Arthropoda; Insecta; Hymenoptera; Formicidae. The record is from RefSeq and is a predicted model, not a curated record.
UUUUUUUUAUAUACGUUCAUUCUCUUGUAUCAUGGUCAGAUAUUUGAUCCAAUGAAGAGGAACAAAGAACGGCAACAAUUCACACGCUAAAAAUAAUGUUAUAGUGAUCGUCAGCCGCCUUUGCGAUCUCAUUAUCACAAACAGCAGAAUACGACUAUCUCGAGGCUUGAGAUCGUACCAAAGCGAUUCGUAUGUCGUAUCAGCGAUCGUUCUGCUCUAGAAUGCAAACGAGGGACAGGUACGUGGAGAAGGAUGGAAGAAUGAAAAACGCGAAGCCAGGUGCGUCAGGUGCGUCAGGUGCUUCGGCACUCGCGAGCGCAGUGCUUUAUUAUCGCAUACUCACUUUAUUGCUGAUAUAUUCGCCAGCGAAACAAAAGAUAAAUGCCUCCAAGGUGAUAGCAAGGUAGAAAAAUACAGUCUUUACCAACAUCCUGAUACCUUCGUUUGUGCCCAAUGACUGUAAGCCAAGAAGAUGAUCAGGAAGAACGUUCGACGAUUGCUAUAACGCAGAGGUCUCAGACAACAAGGGAGCAACAAGUGGAUAAUUUUCCCUCUCCCCUAUCAUAUGCGGCCCAUAACGGGCCCCCGAUUAAUUCUGUAGCUUUUCAGCAAAGUUGAUUCCUCCUUUGACAUCACUAUAUCGAAACAGUGCUCGUACAUUCAAAAAUCGCUUUUAAUUGUACACAUAUAUGUAGGUAAGUCAAA